AUACGUAGGGUGCGAGCGUUGUCCGGAAUUACUGGGCGUAAAGAGCUCGUAGGUGGUUUGUCGCGUCGUCUGUGAAAUUCCGGGGCUUAACUCCGGGCGUGCAGGCGAUACGGGCAUAACUUGAGUACUGUAGGGGAGACUGGAAUUCCUGGUGUAGCGGUGAAAUGCGCAGAUAUCAGGAGGAACACCGGUGGCGAAGGCGGGUCUCUGGGCAGUAACUGACGCUGAGGAGCGAAAGCAUGGGUAGCGAACAGGAUUAGAUUCCCUGGUAGUCCAUGCCGUAAACGGUGGGCGCUAGGUGUAGGGGUCUUCCACGACUUCUGUGCCGUAGCUAACGCAUUAAGCGCCCCGCCUGGGGAGUACGGCCGCAAGGCUAAAACUCAAAGGAAUUGACGGGG
RNAcentral lists this ribosomal RNA (398 nucleotides) under uncultured bacterium. RNAcentral describes it as "partial 16S ribosomal RNA". It matches the Rfam family "Bacterial small subunit ribosomal RNA", at positions 523 to 918 of the family's 1533-position model. The record is from RNAcentral.